AGGGAAUUUUGGACAAUGGGCGAAAGCCUGAUCCAGCAAUGCCGCGUGAGUGAUGAAGGCCCUCGGGUUGUAAAGCUCUUUUGGUAGGAACGAAAAGGUCUGUGCUAAUACCACGGAACGAUGACGGUACCUGCAGAAUAAGCACCGGCUAACUACGUGCCAGCAGCCGCGGUAAUACGUAGGGUGCAAGCGUUAAUCGGAAUUACUGGGCGUAAAGCGUGCGCAGGCGGUUUUGUAAGACCGAUGUGAAAUCCCCGGGCUUAACCUGGGAACUGCAUUGGUGACUGCAAGGCUUGAGUGUGUCAGAGGGAGGUGGAAUUCCGCGUGUAGCAGUGAAAUGCGUAGAGAUGCGGAGGAACACCGAUGGCGAAGGCAGCCUCCUGGGAUAACACUGACGCUCAUGCACGAAAGCGUGGGGAGCAAAC
RNAcentral lists this ribosomal RNA (425 nucleotides) under uncultured bacterium. RNAcentral's name for it is "bacterial SSU rRNA". It matches the Rfam family "Bacterial small subunit ribosomal RNA", at positions 356 to 773 of the family's 1533-position model. The record is from RNAcentral.